Molecule: ribosomal RNA, 482 nt
Filed under: uncultured bacterium
Lineage: Bacteria
Description: bacterial SSU rRNA
Rfam family: Bacterial small subunit ribosomal RNA
Source: RNAcentral
AAAUGAAUAGACGGGAGCCCGCACAAGCAGCGGAGCGUGUGGUUUAAUUCGAUGCAACGCGAAGAACCUUACCUGGGUUUGACAUGUAUGUGGUAGGAAAGCGAAAGCGGACCGACCCGUGAGGGAGCAUACACAGGUGCUGCAUGGCUGUCGUCAGCUCGUGCCGUGAGGUGUUGGGUUAAGUCCUCUAACGAGCGCAACCCUCGUUGCUAGUUAAACAUUUCUAGCGAGACUGCCGGCAUAUAACCGGAGGAAGGUGGGGAUGACGUCAAGUCAGCAUGGCCUUUAUGUCCAGGGCUACACACACGCUACAAUGGUCGGUACAGAGGGUAGCGAAGCCGCGAGGUGGAGCAAAUCUCAGAAAGCCGAUCUCAGUUCAGAUUGCAGGCUGUAACUCGCCUGCAUGAAGGUGGAGUUGCUAGUAACCGCAGGUCAGCUAUACUGCGGUGAAUACGUUCCCGGGCUUUGUACACACCGCCCGU